Molecule: ribosomal RNA, 1243 nt
Filed under: metagenome
Description: bacterial LSU rRNA
Rfam family: Bacterial large subunit ribosomal RNA
Source: RNAcentral
UGAGUACAAGAUGCUACGGCAUUGAAGCAGUCUAUGUCAUACUUCCAAGGAAAGCUUGCAAUGUCAUAAACAAAUAAUGCCUGUACCAUAACCGACACAGGUGGGUAGGUAGAGUAUACUAAGGGGCGCGAGAUAACUCUCUCUAAGGAACUCGGCAAAAUGACUCCGUAACUUCGGGAGAAGGAGUACCUUAUUUUAUAAGGUUGCAAUAACAAGGUCCAAGCAACUGUUUACCAAAAACACAGGUCUCCGCUAAGUCGUAAGACGAUGUAUGGGGGCUGACGCCUGCCCAGUGCCAGAAGGUUAAAGAAGUUGGUUAGCAUUAGCGAAGCUGAUAACUGAAGCCCUGGUGAACGGCGGCCGUAACAAUAACGGUCCUAAGGUAGCGAAAUUCCUUGUCGGGUAAGUUCCGACCCGCACGAAAGGCGUAAUGAUUUGGAUACUGUCUCGGAGAGGGGCUCGGUGAAAUAGACUUGUCUGUGAAGAUGCGGACUACCUGCACCUGGACAGAAAGACCCUAUGAAGCUUUACUGUAACUUGAGAUUGAAAUUGGACUUUAUUUGCGCAGUAUAGGUGGGAGACCUCGAAAGUAUUCUUGCGGGAAUAUUGGAGUCAUCAGUGAGAUACCACUCUUAUAAUGUUAGAUUUCUAACUUUGUAUCAUUAUCUGGUCAAAGAACAGUUUCAGGCGGGCAGUUUGACUGGGGCGGUCGCCUCCCAAAUGGUAACGGAGGCGCACAAAGGUUUCCUCUGAACGUGUAGAAAUCGUAUCUAGAGUGUAAAGGCAUAAGGAAGCUUGACUGUGAGACCUACAAGUUGAGCAGGGACGAAAGUCGGUCUUAGUGAUCUGACGGUGCUGAGUGGAAAGGCCGUCACUCAACGGAUAAAAGUUACUCUAAGGAUAACAGGCUGAUCUCCCCCAAGAGUUCACAUCGACGGGGAGGUUUGGCACCUCGAUGUCGGCUCAUCGCAUCCUGGGGCGGUAGUACGUCCCAAGGGUUGGGCUGUUCGCCCAUGAAAGCGGUACGCGAGCUGGGUUCAGAACGUCGUGAGACAGUUCGGUCCAUAUCCGGUGUAGGCGUUAGAAUAUUGAGAGGAGCCUUCUUUAGUACGAGAGGACCGAGAAGGACAUACCUCUGGUGUACCAGUUAUCGUGCCAACGGUAAACGCUGGGUAGCUAUGUAUGGAGAGGAUAACCGCUGAAAGCAUCUAAGUGGGAAGCCCACCUCAAGAUAAGUACUCUC